RNAcentral lists this ribosomal RNA (253 nucleotides) under uncultured bacterium. Its description in RNAcentral is "partial 16S ribosomal RNA". It matches the Rfam family "Bacterial small subunit ribosomal RNA", at positions 524 to 776 of the family's 1533-position model. The record is from RNAcentral.
UACAUAGGCAGCGAGCGUUGUUCGGAGUUACUGGGCGUAAAGGGUGUGUAGGCGGUUUUCUAAGUUUGGUGUGAAAUCUCCCGGCUUAACCGGGAGGGUGCGCCGAAAACUGGGAGACUAGAGUGCGGGAUGGGAGAGUAGAAUUCCUGGUGUAGCGGUGAAAUGCGUAGAUAUCAGGAGGAAUACCGGUGGUGCAGACGGCUCUCUGGACCGCAACUGACGCUGAGACACGAAAGCGUGGGUAGCAAACAGG